UACGUAGGGGGCAAGCGUUGUCCGGAAUCAUUGGGCGUAAAGCGCGUGUAGGCGGUUCGGUAAGUCCGCUGUGAAAGUCCAGGGCUCAACCCUGGGAUGCCGGUGGAUACUGUCGGGCUAGAGUACGGAAGAGGCGAGUGGAAUUCCCGGUGUAGCGGUGAAAUGCGCAGAUAUCGGGAAGAACACCUAUGGCGAAGGCAGCUCUCUGGGACGGUACUGACGCUGAGACGCGAAAGCGUGGGGAGCGAACAGG
This 253-nucleotide ribosomal RNA is filed under the name uncultured bacterium. Its description in RNAcentral is "partial 16S ribosomal RNA". It matches the Rfam family "Bacterial small subunit ribosomal RNA", at positions 524 to 776 of the family's 1533-position model. The record is from RNAcentral.